Molecule: ribosomal RNA, 492 nt
Filed under: Diaporthe sp. Smm008
Lineage: Eukaryota; Fungi; Ascomycota; Sordariomycetes; Diaporthales; Diaporthaceae
Description: eukaryotic LSU rRNA
Rfam family: 5.8S ribosomal RNA (bases 178-331)
Source: RNAcentral
CUGGAACGCGCCCCAGGCGCACCCAGAAACCCUUUGUGAACUUAUACCUUACUGUUGCCUCGGCGCUAGCUGGUCCUUCGGGGCCCCUCACCCUCGGGUGUUGAGACAGCCCGCCGGCGGCCAACCUAACUCUUGUUUUUACACUGAAACUCUGAGAAUAAAACAUAAAUGAAUCAAAACUUUCAACAACGGAUCUCUUGGUUCUGGCAUCGAUGAAGAACGCAGCGAAAUGCGAUAAGUAAUGUGAAUUGCAGAAUUCAGUGAAUCAUCGAAUCUUUGAACGCACAUUGCGCCCUCUGGUAUUCCGGAGGGCAUGCCUGUUCGAGCGUCAUUUCAACCCUCAAGCCUGGCUUGGUGAUGGGGCACUGCCUGUAAAAGGGCAGGCCCUGAAAUUCAGUGGCGAGCUCGCCAGGACCCCGAGCGCAGUAGUUAAACCCUCGCUUUGGAAGGCCCUGGCGGUGCCCUGCCGUUAAACCCCCAACUUCUGAAAAU